Molecule: ribosomal RNA, 483 nt
Filed under: uncultured bacterium
Lineage: Bacteria
Description: partial 16S ribosomal RNA
Rfam family: Bacterial small subunit ribosomal RNA
Source: RNAcentral
AUUGAACGCUGGCGGCAUGCUUUACACAUGCAAGUCGAACGGCAGCGCGGGCUUCGGCCUGGCGGCGAGUGGCGAACGGGUGAGUAAUGCAUCGGAACGUGCCCAGUAGUGGGGAUAGCCCGGCGAAAGCCGGAUUAAUACCGCAUACGACCUGAGGGUGAAAGCGGGGGGCCGAAAGGCCUCGCGCUAUUGGAGCGGCCGAUGUCGGAUUAGCUAGUUGGUGGGGUAAAGGCUUACCAAGGCGACGAUCCGUAGCUGGUCUGAGAGGACGACCAGCCACACUGGGACUGAGACACGGCCCAGACUCCUACGGGAGGCAGCAGUGGGGAAUUUUGGACAAUGGGGGCAACCCUGAUCCAGCCAUGCCGCGUGCGGGAAGAAGGCCUUCGGGUUGUAAACCGCUUUUGUUCGGGAAGAAAUCCUCUGGGCUAAUACCCCGGGGGGAUGACGGUACCGGAAGAAUAAGCACCGGCUAACUACGUG